GUGCUUACUUCAGCAGCACAUCUAUUAAAAUUGGAGUGAUACAGAGAUUAGCAUGUGCAAAAAUGACACAUAAAUUCCUGAAGUGUUCCGUAUUUUU
Molecule: small nuclear RNA, 97 nt
Organism: Vulpes vulpes (red fox)
Lineage: Eukaryota; Metazoa; Chordata; Mammalia; Carnivora; Canidae
Source: Ensembl